CAGCCGCCGCGGGAAUACAGAGGGUGCGAGCGUUAAUCGGAUUUACUGGGCGUAAAGCGUGCGUAGGCGGCUUCUUAAGUCGGAUGUGAAAUCCCUGAGCUUAACUUAGGAAUUGCAUUCGAUACUGGGAAGCUAGAGUAUGGGAGAGGAUGGUAGAAUUCCAGGUGUAGCGGUGAAAUGCGUAGAGAUCUGGAGGAAUACCGAUGGCGAAGGCAGCCAUCUGGCCUAAUACUGACGCUGAGGUACGAAAGCAUGGGGAGCAAACAGGAUUAGAUACCCCUGUAGUCCCUGUCUCUUAUAA
RNAcentral lists this ribosomal RNA (301 nucleotides) under uncultured bacterium. RNAcentral's name for it is "partial 16S ribosomal RNA". It matches the Rfam family "Bacterial small subunit ribosomal RNA", at positions 509 to 809 of the family's 1533-position model. The record is from RNAcentral.